RNAcentral lists this ribosomal RNA (237 nucleotides) under Triticum aestivum (bread wheat). Its description in RNAcentral is "partial small subunit ribosomal RNA". Lineage: Eukaryota; Viridiplantae; Streptophyta; Magnoliopsida; Poales; Poaceae. The record is from RNAcentral.
AUGACAAGCAAACCAGUGCCGCCGGCACGGCCUCCUGUCCCGUCUCCGGCCCCGGCGUAUACUGCGCAGGCGGCUGGGCAAAACGCGCCGUCUACAGCUAAUGGGUUGUCCAAGACGCCCCCUCCUUGCCAGAGCUACAGCAACAGCACGCAGAAUCGACCGCCGUUCAGACCCGGUGAAGAGCGUAGUACUACUGGUGGUAAAGUGACAGCCGCCAAGGCCAUGUCUUCUAAGUGA